This 480-nucleotide ribosomal RNA is filed under the name uncultured bacterium. Its description in RNAcentral is "bacterial SSU rRNA". It matches the Rfam family "Bacterial small subunit ribosomal RNA", at positions 29 to 506 of the family's 1533-position model. The record is from RNAcentral.
UUGAACGCUGGCGGCAUGCCUUACACAUGCAAGUCGAACGGUAACAGGUCUUCGGAUGCUGACGAGUGGCGAACGGGUGAGUAAUACAUCGGAACGUGCCCGAUCGUGGGGGAUAACUACGCGAAAGCGUGGCUAAUACCGCAUACGCCCUGAGGGGGAAAGCGGGGGACCUUCGGGCCUCGCGCGAUUGGAGCGGCUGAUGUCGGAUUAGCUGGUUGGUGGGGUAAAGGCCUACCAAGGCGACGAUCCGUAGCUGGUCUGAGAGGAUGAUCAGCCACACUGGGACUGAGACACGGCCCAGACUCCUACGGGAGGCAGCAGUGGGGAAUUUUGGACAAUGGGCGCAAGCCUGAUCCAGCCAUGCCGCGUGAGUGAAGAAGGCCUUCGGGUUGUAAAGCUCUUUCAGACGGAAAGAAAUCGGGCGGGUGAAUAGCCUGCCUGGAUGACGGUACUGUCAGAAGAAGCACCGGCUAACUACGU